RNAcentral lists this ribosomal RNA (446 nucleotides) under uncultured bacterium. RNAcentral's name for it is "partial 16S ribosomal RNA". It matches the Rfam family "Bacterial small subunit ribosomal RNA", at positions 338 to 795 of the family's 1533-position model. The record is from RNAcentral.
CCUACGGGCGGCUGCAGUCGAGAAUCAUUCACAAUGGGGGAAACCCUGAUGGUGCGACGCCGCGUGGGGGAAUGAAGGUCUUCGGAUUGUAAACCCCUGUCAUGUGGGAGCAAAUUAAAAAGAUAGUACCACAAGAGGAAGAGACGGCUAACUCUGUGCCAGCAGCCGCGGUAAUCCAGAGGUCUCAAGCGUUGUUCGGAAUCACUGGGCGUAAAGCGUGCGUAGGCUGUUUCGUAAGUCGUGUGUGAAAGGCGCGGGCUCAACCCGCGGACGGCACAUGAUACUGCGAGACUAGAGUAAUGGAGGGGGAACCGGAAUGCUCGGUGUAGCAGUGAAAUGCGUAGAUAUCGAGAGGAACACUCGUGGCGAAGGCGGGUUCCUGGACAUUAACUGACGCUGAGGCACGAAGGCCAGGGGAGCGAAAGGGAUUAGAUACCCCUGUAGUC